Molecule: long non-coding RNA, 4295 nt
Filed under: Nicotiana benthamiana
Lineage: Eukaryota; Viridiplantae; Streptophyta; Magnoliopsida; Solanales; Solanaceae
Description: long non-coding RNA (NBEN_LNC015549)
Source: RNAcentral
AGGCUGUUUCCAAAUAGACCCCCGGCAUCCUUCCCUCCAAGAACUUCCCACCUUGCUCUUGGGGAGACUCAAACUCACAACCUCUCGGUUGGAAGUGCCUAUUCUAUGCCGUUAAUUUCCUAAUGAAAAGCUAGAGAACAAAAAGGAUAUUAACAUAAAUUUCUAGGCUUCUUUGAGAACAUAGGCGGACUCAGAUUUCAUGAUUUAACCUAUAAAAGUGCAUUAUAACGAAUUACCUUUUCCGACUAUGUUCUCAAGAGCUUGCAAGGUACUGAGAGAAGAAGCGAGAUCAUUAGCCCAUAUAUUCCUCCCAUCAACUACUCCAGCAAAAAGAUACUUUUCCGAAGGAAAACUGCUCUUGAUCAAAUCAAGAGUCUUCGAUCCACGAACUAGAUCAAACCCCAAUGCGGUAACACCUUUUAAAGCGGUAACCGUUUUGAAAGCUUCAGAAGGAACAUCAGCAGAACAUGUCACUAUGAGGACGUUUAAACCAGAAACAGUAACACCUUUUAAAGUGGUCACUGUUUUGAAGCUUCAGCAGGAAAUUGGCAAAAUAUGUCCUGAUAAGGACAUUUAAACCAGAAAGUGAUGACUCUAAUUCUGAGUAAGCAUGAGAAAAUGCCCCUAAUUGAUGAGAAUCAAGAUCUUUAACAAGAGUAGGCUCAUCAAACUGAAUCCAACUUUCACCAGCUGCCUUCAGUUUAGCAAUGACUUCCAUAAAUGAGCAGCACGAUACAAGGCAGUUGUGGUGAACAUUAUGAGAGAGAAAUACAGGAAUAAAUAAUAAAUAAGGGAAAUUUGUUUUAUCUUACUUGUAAACAGGAAGAAUCUUGCCAACCAGCGAGAGAAGAGGAAACGACUUCUCAACACCUUUUGCUGCUUUUUAUAAAAAGAGGAAGGAAACUGGACCGACAAGGACAGGGACGGUGUCAACACCUAGCUGUAAAAUCAAAAAGUUGAAACCAAUAUCAGCACACCAAAUCAUUCCAAAAGAUUCAGUUAAUUGGAGGAACAAACUAAAACAACUGACAUGUGGCUAUCAGUUUAUACUAGGAAAAUACGAGUCAAUACCACAUCAGGAUGGUUUUCAAUAAAGACAACAAAAUAGAGGUUACUAAGUGCAAUUUUACUAUGAUACCGACGACACAAAGUGCUCAGCUGAUACAAAGUGCUCCGCAGAUCUGAACGCAGAGUUGACCCUUUUUUGUAUAUCCUCAAAUUAUGCAUCAGUCUUUUUGGUUUACCUAUAUAAAUAUGUAAAUUAAUCCCGAAACUUGAAAUUUGUUACUACUCACAGGCAACAUCACCCGUUAAGUUGGUUAAGAACCAUGAGGCUUCACAUUCAAAUCUCAACUGAGACAAAAAAACACUAGGCCUUUUCGUCCUAUCUGUCCAAGCCUUGAUGGACAAACAACAACAACUACUACUACCCAGUAUAGUCCCACAAAGUGGGGUCUGGGGAGGGUAAUAUGUAGACGAGCCUUAACCCUACCCGAAAGGGCAGAGAGACUGUUUCCAAUCGACCCUCGGCUCGGUGAGUAACUAUCAGUCAAAUCAUGUUGAACAAACUCGAUGCAGUCAAUUGCACCUUGUUUUUGUGAGCAGUAAUUGCACCUUCGGAAAUGAUGGAAAAUGGACUCCAAUUUUUAACACUCAAACUUGGUUAGACCGUUUGUCUUCCAAGUCUCAUAACUUAAUGUUAUUGGUCUUUUAGUUAUCCUUAAAACUUGGGUCAAGAUCUCUGCGAACCUAAAUGUUUGACUGACUACACUCAGCUCGUUAACUUGACUUGGAACUUGGAAGUCAUUACCCUUCUUGGUCCCCACAUUGUAGACAAUCAGAAGAAAAGCAGAUUCCAAGCAAAUUAAUACUGCUUUGUACAGGAUAUAGAUUAUUCCAUGGCACUGCAAUUAACUACCAAAAUCAGAGGAAUAAUUUAAAUUAGCCUUGCGGAAGAACACGGGAAUCAGCUUGAAUUUAAAUGCUGGAAGGUGGUGUUAGGAGAGGGGCAGAGGAUAAUGUCCAAUGAAGGAAGAGUGACUGUGGGUUCUGUUUGAUAAUAUGGAUAGGUCUGUGUAUCAGUGCAGACAAAAAGCUCUUUCUAGGAAAAAAAAUCUACUCUAGAAACAGAAAAGAACAUAGAAUCUGCUCAAGUGGAAAGUAUCUAGAACAACUUCCAUAUUAAAGCCAGAUACAAACUACCCAACGGAACCUCAAGAGUAGCAUAAAGAGCAACAAGAAUAUCAAAUAUAGAGGGAGGGGGGACAACUGACCUUGAACACGUGAUGAGCCACAAUCCGACUCUUGACAUUUUAAAUUCAUCUCACUUUUUGUUGCUCCAGUUUCAUUUUUUCCUCAGAUGACAAAAUUACCUAGAAUUACCUAGUACUUGUUGGUGGUGGGAGGUAGCAGGAAUCCCGUUGAAUUAGUCGAGGUGCGCUUAAGCUCGCCCGAACACCAUGGUUAAAUUAAAAACAAAAAAAGGGACCACCCAUAAUGUGACUGUAGGAUUGCUUAUGGGUGUUUGUAACACGCAGCGGAAUAUAAUAACAAUCCUAGGUAGAUUUUCUCAUGUUUAAAAUUUAUUUGCAUGUCAAAAAUAGGAUUUAAGACGUACCUGGUGAAGAGAGUUUCUUUUCCGAAAUUUCUUCGAUAGUGCGAAGACUCUAUGCGUAUCCACACCGAGACCGAUCUUUGCUAUGAAAUUUCUUCGAUAGUGCGAAGACUCUAUGCGUAUCCACACCGAGACCGAUCCUUGCUAUCAACUCUUUGAUAAAUGAAACCUGUGAACAAAUUGAACGGAAAUAUUAUGCUAAAGUUUUUCUCAAAAACUAUAGCUAAAAUAUGAAAGACUAAGAAAACUAAUUUUCUUGUCAAUAAUUUUUUUUCUUUAUCUCACAUUUUUCUCUCGAUUUUUCUUACUAAUUCUUCUUAAUGAUAUGUGUAUAUAUAUACACAUAUUGAGUCAAAAAAGGAAGGAAAGUAGUUGGAGACUCUACCAACUAAAUACAAUUCUAUUUAGAAUUGUAUAACCAACACUAUUGAUUUGGCCAACAAUUCCAUUUUGAAUGGAAUUCCAAUUCCAUUUCUUAAUGGAAUUCUUGCCUAAUUUUAUCAAACUCUUUAGUUGACCAAAUUCUUAAAUACAAUUCUAUUUUUUAAUUUUUUAUUCUUAUAUAUAUAUCACACACACACACACACACACACACAGAGCAUAGAUCCAGAAUGAUGAUAAAUCUUCCAUGUAGAUGAUUAACAUAAAUAUGUCAAAAUACCUCGUCUCUUAGGCCAGCUAAUGCCUUUGCCAAUGCAUUGACUUCCACCAAUUUUUGUGCAGCAAAUGCAAGCCAUGACUUAAUUUCUUCAUCAAACUUAGUCUCAUUCACUAAAUCAACUGCAGUGUGGAGAAGCAAGCAGGACGUGGAGACCACAAGCUUGUAUGAAGAUAACAAAUGCCCAAAAACGUCACUCAUACGCUUCCAAUAAUCCACGGACUAAGAUUUUGUUAUAUAUUGUUGCAAAGAUUUCACUAAUUCAUUUAUUUCCUUAUUUCGAGAUAAAGCAAAGACCAAACCGAGGACUCAUUUCUUACUGGUACACGUCUAAAAAAGCAACAUGCAGACCAAGAGUGUAGAAAGUCUUCCAAAUUUUGGAAGACUAACGUUCUAUUGAAAAAUGUGGUGAUAACAGAGGAUAAUGGAAUAACCAAACAGCCGAAAUUGCUUGACUGCAAUACUUCAAAUUUCUGAAACAGACCUUAUCGUGCCUAUUCUAUGCCGUUAAUUUCCUAAUGAAACGCUAGAGAACAAAAAGGAUAUUGACAUAAAUUUCUAGGCUUCUUUGAGAACGUAGGCGGACUCAGAUUUCAUGAUUCAACCUAUAAAAGUGCAGUUAUAACGAAUUACCUUUUCCGACUAUGUUCUCAAGAGCUUGCAAGGUACUGAGAGAAGAAGCGAGAUCAUUAGCCCAUAUAUUCCUCCCAUCAACUACUCCAGCAAAAAGUUACUUUUCCGAAGGAAAACCGCUCUUGAUCAAAUCAAGAGUCUUCGAUCCACGAACUAGAUCAAACCCCAAUGCAGUAACACCUUUUAAAGUGGUCACUGUUUUGAAGCUUCAGCAGGAAAUUGGCAAAAUAUGUCCUGAUAAGGACAUUUAAACCAGAAAGUGAUGACUCUAAUUCUGAGUAAGCAUGAGAAAAUGCCCCUAAUUGAUGAGAAUCAAGAUCUUUAACAAGAAUAGGCUCAUCAAACUGAAUCCAACUUGCACCAGCUGCCUUCAGUUCAGCAAUGACUUCC